AGCUGAGUUCAAGAGCAGUCGACGAGAGAAGUUGUUGUGAGGGCGUUUUUUGACUAAAAAUCUUUCUUUUAUUCCUCAAAUAUGGAUCUUUAAGGGCUCAUACAGCAUCCUAAAGUGUGCUUCGAUUUCUUGGUCAAGAUUAUUCGCUCCCCGCUUUUUGCUCGGCGAUAGCAAAUCGACAUCUUCUUGCUUAGUAAAGCAAGUUUUUGCUUUUAAUCUGGAUCUCUUCCCUUUCGUCACAACCUGGAUUUGUUUUGCUGUAUCACUGAAAGAUGGACUACUUGGCUGUUUCGAACCAGGCCGGGCAUCAAAUCCGUUUUUAGAUUAAUGUCCUGGGAGCAGCACAAAUAUUCUUAAUUUAAGUUGCUUAGGCCCAGGGCAAACGUCGGACUAACGUCACACUGAACCUAUUUAACAUAGGUUCAGUGGCUUUACGAUUAUUUCGCCUACGCACUGGUUCGCCUACUGAAGUUCGUCUACGUAUCUAUGUAUCUAUGAAGGGUGAGACAAUAAAUAUACUGUAAAAAAAGGAAAAAAAUAGUUCUCGUGUAAAGAAUAAAACUUUUAUAUGAAUAGCAAGGCAAACAAAGAGAAACACUGAAAACUUUAGACGCGAACGAGUAACUGGCAAGCCUUGUGUGACAACACCGUAAAUCAAGAAAAGUUGUGAAACCUAUCUUAAGGCAGUGUGACACAUAAAAUAUAUAAAAAGGUAAAACAAAGUGACUGCUGUUGAGUAAAGUAAGAGAAAUGUUACGAAUGAGUCAAGAACUUCCGAGAUGGGAACGAGCUGUGAACGAUCGUUGUGACAACAAAAGCCUAACGACUUGUCAAGUGAAAGCCGUAAACUAUCAGAUGUCAUGAAAAAAUCUUUGCUUACUUACCAAUAUCUUUAUUAAAAACGCAUCUUUUAUCGCUAAGAACUAUUUUUAUAAGUAUGAAGGUGAUUAAAGAAAGAGAAACGUUA
RNA transcript from Actinia tenebrosa (Australian red waratah sea anemone), 967 nucleotides. RefSeq lists it as uncharacterized. The record is from RefSeq and is a predicted model, not a curated record. Lineage: Eukaryota; Metazoa; Cnidaria; Anthozoa; Actiniaria; Actiniidae.